AACGAACGCUGGCGGCAUGCCUAACACAUGCAGGUCGAACGAUACCUUCGGGUCUAGUGGCGCACGGGUGCGUAACGCGUGGGAACCUGCCCUUAGGUUCGGAAUAACUCCCCGAAAGGGGUGCUAAUACCGGAUAAUGUCUCCGGACCAAAGAUUUAUCGACUUUGGAUGGGCCCGCGUUGGAUUAGCUAGUUGGUAGGGUAAAAGCCUACCAAGGCGACGAUCCAUAGCUGGUCUGAGAGGAUGAUCAGCCACACUGGGACUGAGACACGGCCCAGACUCCUACGGGAGGCAGCAGUGGGGAAUAUUGGACAAUGGGCGAAAGCCUGAUCCAGCAAUGCCGCGUGAGUGAUGAAGGCCUUAGGGUUGUAAAGCUCUUUUACCCGGGAUGAUAAUGACAGUACCGGGAGAAUAAGCUCCGGCUAACUCCGUG
This 433-nucleotide ribosomal RNA is filed under the name uncultured bacterium. RNAcentral describes it as "partial 16S ribosomal RNA". It matches the Rfam family "Bacterial small subunit ribosomal RNA", at positions 29 to 507 of the family's 1533-position model. The record is from RNAcentral.